CUGAGUGUCGAGACAUCUGAGGGAACUUUGCCCGAGGUCGCAGCCCCCCCCGGGAGGAGACCCUCCUAGGGACCCCUUCCGCAGGGACCUGGGGCGCCUCCCACUCCCUGCUGUGCCUGCGGGCACUCUCCCCAUGACUCACUAGAGAAGAGACCUGGGAGGAACCUGGGGACGUGGGUGUGUGACCGUGGGCCGCCAGGGUCCCCUUUCAGGCUGUUUCCCUGCAGGUGAACCAAGAGCCACAGCCAAGGCAGGCGAGCAAGCGUGAUGAGCCUGCCGCCCCUCUCCAGCCAGUGGAGGUUCCCCUGCCGCUCUCGCGCCAGGACGGUUGCUCUCACUGUCUGUGAGGCCCACGCCGAAGCCCUUCGGGCAGCCCUGGGCUCCCGAGAAGAGCCUUGCUGAGCUCCUGGGAAGAGGCGUGCCCUCCCCGUCCCCCAUUGCCCCCUUGGCUGUGCACGCGUGUGCACACGGGUUCGUGCACAUGAACACAAAAGUGUCCUCGUGGACAAUGUGUGGUACUGUGUAUGCACACAGCGCACGUGUGUGCCUGGACACCAGGACAGCUGGAGUGCGGGGAAGCCGGCUCCUGUCCACGGAGGAUGCCAGUGACUGCUCACCCCCACUUCCACUUGAAGGGGAAGAUUCGACAGGACCAGUGCCUGUGGGAGAGCUGGCAAUCCGGACUGAGGAUGCCGGGUGCCUGGCACGGUGCCCACCUUCCCCUCAGUGGCUGGCACCAUCUCUCUGGCCACUGCCUUACUCAGUCUCCUCUGACAGCUCCAUGCUCAGGUGUGAAAAGGAGGGGAAAGUGAAGCCCCCUUCCCCUCGGGGCUGACCACCUCCAGGAGCUGCUUUCUUGACCACACGAGGCAUAUAUGGGGGUGUUUCUGUGCCUGGAGACUGCAGGGGGAAUGGUCUAGCAUGGACUGGGCCCUCCAGAGGAGGGGCUCCAUACCUGUUGGUUCCUCCAAGAUCUGGGGUGAGCCCGCCUGAGUAUCCCACAGCAAGUCAGAGAAGGUCCCGGAGGGAAUGUGGGCAGCAAGGUCGGGGUGGUUCCAAGGCCUUCAGAAGGAACCUUGAGGCAGCACCCACUGAAGCCAACCCCAGAAACACUCCCUCUGUGAACAGUAGCAGGGACUUCGCAGGGCUUAAGCCGAAUUUCCAGCUCAGUGUCAACCUGUGGAUUUGUGGUGAGUUUCCCUGCCCUCCCACCCUUCCUCUCUACCCUCUGAAGCCUGGCUCCAGCAUCACCUGCUCAGGCCGUCCCUGGCUCCGCUGCAGCCCCUGCCCGGACGGGAGAAGGCAUGUGCACCUCCUGCUCUGCUCCCAGCACAGCUUCUGCUCCAGCAAAGCCCACGGGCACUCAGGCCUGGUUCCUACACCCGUCACCCCUCGGAGCACCCGCCCUCACUGUCACCCAGGCCUCCUUUGUGCCUUGGACACAGAACCCCAGUUUUGUUCAAGGCAUCAAUGUACCCAGCCUCGCCAGCUGCUGGGGCCAGCUGUGACACAGUUUGCCCAGGGGAUGACUGCAGGAGGCACAAGGGAGCCUCCCGGCCCUUCGGAAGGGGCAGGUGUGGCCGCCCUCACUGAUGGCCUUCCUUUCUCCUUGCUCCAGCCUGGAGUGUGGUCACGGUGUCCCAAGAACAGCAGCCAUGUGGCCAGCGAGGGCCAGGGUCCCAGCAGCUGCCUUGGUGCCCCAAGGGCCAUGCUCAGACUCAUCAGCAUCGGGAGAACAAGCCCUUGCUCCCUUUACGGGGCUGCCUCCUUAGAUUUCGUUAGGUUUUCUGUAACUCAAGCCCAUGUCACUUCUAUUGGAGCUGAUUUGGGCUCCUAAGCUCACAGGGGGUGGGACGUCCUUCUAUUAGCUUCGUCCUGCCCGCCCCCCCUCCCCACAGCAGCAAUGGCUCCUUGCGGGCAGGCCCGAGGAAUGGCCUGGAAGAGCUUGCGAGGAGCGAGGGCACAGGAGACACCCUCCCAGGGGCAUCUUUCCCACAUGUCCCCAGGCAGCCCAGGCUUCCAACUACAUCUUAAAACAUGAAAAAUGGGGAGGAGAAGAAACUUUGGUCCUAACACCUAGCCAAGCCCUGUCUUGCUGUGUGAUCUUCAGCCUGAGGCACACCUUCUCUGGGCUUGAUCACCAAAGCCGCAAAUGCAGGGCAGAGCACUCAUGAGGUCUGCCCAAGAGCGAGGUUGGUAAAUGGCUGGCAGAACCACGGGCGUGGGACGUGUGGGAGGGUGGUGAGCCAUUCCCUCAUCACCCACGCCAGGGUAGUGUCAUGGGGGGACACGUGGGUGUCUCUGGGAAGGGCCUGGCACAGCCCCAGCACAUGGCAGGGGUCUAACCAUUCAAGACUCAUUCUGUGUCGUCGGACAUCCCGUCUCUUAGAAACCAGCUCCAGCCUGACGCGCAGAACAGCCUCCUGAGGUGUUGAGCGGUGAGCAAGAGUGACAAAAAGCAAAACGAAAUAAAAGAAUAGAGAAUCCAUGGGCGAGCAUGUACGGUGCUAUUCCUGCUAACGCAUCGUCCAAGGAAGGACAGUUGCCACGUUUCCUGGGAACGCUCCCCACCCGACCCCCGCCGGCAUCCCUGAGCCCGAGAUCAGCAGGUGGGGACCAGGGGAUGGGAAGAGUCUCCGCACUGCAAGGCCAUGGUCCACCCAGGUCCCACAGCCACCGCUGGGCCUGCUGCUGGGCACAGCUGCCCUCCUUCCCUGCCAAAGUCCAUCCCAUCUACAAAGCCUGUCUCCUCACUCACUCAUCCAGCAAACCUUUACUUCCAUGCCAAGCAGCGUGCUAGGUUCCAGGGAUACCAUCCAGUUCGAUUGGGUUGCUAACGACAGAACAAACCCAAAUCUCAUAUGGUUGCUUUUAAUGUUGUAUUUUCAUGUCCAGGUAGGCAGUAGGACUGAGAAGGUGGCCUCACAAUCAUCAGGACCCCAGGCCCCCUUAGUCUGGUUGCCCCAUCAAUCCCCAAAUAGGCCUUCUGCCUCAUGGUGCAAGACAGCUGCUGAAGCUCCAGCCAUCAUGUCUGCUUUCAUCCAGAAGGGAGGAAACAUUGGCAUACUCUUCCCAACCUCCUAACCCAAGUUUUUAUGGUCGCUGCUGGAUUCUGCACACACCACCUCUGCUUAUAGCCCCCGUGGCCACAGCUGGGCCCCUUGGGUGCUUGGAGCUGCAGGAGAGGCUCGGUCAUUUCUCCACCCCAGGGACUGUGUUUUCAGCUAAGAGCUGGACUCCUGCGCGGAGUAAGGAGGGAAGGAUGGUGUUACCCGGCAGUCUUGGCAUCAGGACACAGCCCUGUGCACCACCUGGCGACAGGCAGGGGUCAGCAGCCUGCACACCACACACGUGUGCUCCGGGAACCUGUGCCGAGGUUGUGCAGGAGUGAUUGGGGCGUGGAGGACCCCGGAGGAAAGGGGGGUCAGGGAAGGCCCCUCAGUGAGAAGACCAAAAUGGGUGAGACUUAAGGGGUAGCAUUUCUAGGGGUGAGCUGUGAGUACCAUGGCAAGAGAGGAGACAGCAACGUCCGCGUCCCACCGUCCUCUGUGGACACAUACUGACCCCUCCAGCUGCUCGGAGUUGUGGGGGCCGGACAGCCCAUCUCCUGCCUCCUCAUUUCACAGGGAGGAACCCAGCAGAGGAGGGGCAGGCACAGGGUCCGAGACCAGCCCCCAGCCACUCUGAGCCCAGCCCGUGUCCCCUAACCCCAGGCCCAGUCUCUGCCUCCUCAUCCUGGCACCUCCCCUCUCCACACACUCAGCCUGUAUCGGCCACGAAGUCACAGCCCUGUGGAGUCACUGGUGAACCCAGGGGACUUUAUUUUGUUCGGCUUUUUUUUUUUUUUUUUUGAGACAGGGUCUUGCUGUGUCGCCCAGCUGGAGUGUAGUGGUGCAAUCACAGCUCACUGCAGCCUUGACCUCCCAGGCUCAAGCGAUCCCCCCACCUCAGCCUCCCUGGGAGCUGGGACUGCAGGUGCAUGCUCAUGUUUUUGGAUUUUGUAUUUUUUGUAUUUGACACAGGGUUUCACCAUGUUGCCCAGGUUGGUCUCAAACUCCUGAACUCAAGUGAUUCACCUGCCUCGACCUCCCAAAGUGCUGGGACUACAAGCGUAAGCCACCGUGCUCAGCCUCUCUGUGACGGAACUCUGAAAACAGUGUCAUUCGCCAUUUCUUGUACAGUCAACAGCACGCAGUUUGGUUCUGAAUGUGUGAUUCUCGUGUGUCCACUGUUUGGAGUUAGACCGGGUACCUGAAUGAGACCAGGAUGCUUUAGGGACAGCGAGCGUCGUGGAUGUGUACCCUG
This 4305-nucleotide long non-coding RNA is filed under the name Aotus nancymaae (Ma's night monkey). RNAcentral's name for it is "lncRNA (ENSANAG00000039158.1)". The record is from RNAcentral. Lineage: Eukaryota; Metazoa; Chordata; Mammalia; Primates; Aotidae.